Molecule: ribosomal RNA, 247 nt
Filed under: uncultured bacterium
Lineage: Bacteria
Description: partial 16S ribosomal RNA
Rfam family: Bacterial small subunit ribosomal RNA
Source: RNAcentral
GUAGGGGGCAAGCGUUAUCCGGAUUUACUGGGUGUAAAGGGAGCGUAGACGGUGCAGCAAGUCUGAUGUGAAAGGUCGGGGCCCAACCCCGGGACUGCAUUGGAAACUGUUGAACUGGAGUACAGGAGAGGUAAGCGGAAUUCCUAGUGUAGCGGUGAAAUGCGUAGAUAUUAGGAGGAACACCAGUGGCGAAGGCGGCUUACUGGACUGUAACUGACGUUGAGGCUCGAAAGCGUGGGGAGCAAAC